Molecule: ribosomal RNA, 779 nt
Filed under: uncultured Neocallimastigales
Lineage: Eukaryota; Fungi; Neocallimastigomycota; Neocallimastigomycetes; Neocallimastigales
Description: partial large subunit ribosomal RNA
Rfam family: Eukaryotic large subunit ribosomal RNA
Source: RNAcentral
UAGAGAGAGACAUGCGCGCAUAUCAAUAAGCGGAGGAAAAGAAACUAACUAGGAUUCCCUCAGUAACGGCGAGUGAAGCGGGAGGAGCUCAAAUUUGAAAUCUUCAAGGUUCUACCUUGACGAAUUGUAGUUUAAAGAAGUGUUUUCUGUUGGAAUUUUGGUAAAAGUUCUUUGGAAAUAGGACAUCAUAAGAGGGUGAGAGUCCCGUAUUUGAUCCAUUCCUUCUAGCUUUGUGAUACACUUUCAAAGAGUCGGAUUGUUUGGGAAUGCAGUCCAAAAUGGGUGGUAAAUUUCAUCUAAAGCUAAAUAUUGGCGAGAGACCGAUAGCGAACAAGUACCGUGAGGGAAAGAUGAAAAGAACUUUGAAAAGAGAGUUAAACAGUACGUGAAAUUGUCAAAAGGGAAGCGUUUGACACCAGUGUUGUUUUCUCGAAAAUCAAUUAAAAAGAUGCAGGAUUUUGCUGUUGUAUUGACUUUAUCAGCUUUCUGCACUUUUUUCUUGUCUUUUUUAAUGCACUUUUCGUUUAACAAGUCAACAUCAAUUUCUUUUGUUGUAAAAGGGUCAUUGGAAGGUGGCUUUCUUUCGGAGAAAGUGUUUAUAGCCUUUGGCCUCUGCAAUCGGAGAGAUUGAGGUCUGCAGCGUAGAUCCUUCGGGGUUAGAUGCAUUUGUGCUAAGUUAUAGCCUUUCAUAGACAACUUGUUGACUAUGAUCAGUCAUGUAGCUUACUCGCUUAUGUCAUUUUACCUACGCUUAGGAUGUUGACAGCAGUAUAGACUGU